This is a small nucleolar RNA of Hypanus sabinus (Atlantic stingray), 72 nucleotides long. RefSeq annotates it as small nucleolar RNA SNORD34. NCBI's taxonomy places the organism in Eukaryota, Metazoa, Chordata, Chondrichthyes, Myliobatiformes, Dasyatidae. The record is from RefSeq and is a predicted model, not a curated record. The transcript has a single exon.
CUCUGUCGCUGAUGAAUUAUUAUACCUACAUUGUUUGAUGUCAAAAUGAGAACAAACUAUACUGAGACUGGG